This is a long non-coding RNA of Salvia splendens (bonfire salvia), 1314 nucleotides long. RefSeq lists it as uncharacterized. NCBI's taxonomy places the organism in Eukaryota, Viridiplantae, Streptophyta, Magnoliopsida, Lamiales, Lamiaceae. The record is from RefSeq and is a predicted model, not a curated record. The transcript has 5 exons.
UUUCGAGAGAUAGUGAGAAGCUGAGAGAGGCUGGAGAGGAGAGGAGAGGAGAGGAGAGAGAGAGAGAGAUAGCAUUCCGCUGUCUGUUCUUUACGCCGUUGCUCGUCAAGAUGUCAUACUCGAGGAGAUCAAGUUACAGAUCCCCUUCACCUAACUAUAAGCGCAACAGUAGGUCUGUCUCAAGGUCCCUGACUCCAUCAAGUAGUAGGUCAAGGAGCUAUUCCAGUGAUGCUGAGAAUCCUGGAAAUAAUCUGUAUGUGAAAGAAAGGUCGAAGGAGUUCACCUUGUUGUCGAUAGACAUACAAGGUAAUCGCGUGGGUUUGGAUUUGUGACUAUGUCCUCUCUGAAGGAGGCGGAACGCUGAAUCAAAUACUUGGACCGAUCUGUCCUUGAAGGCAGGGUUAUAUCUGUGGAGAAGGUAGGGAUUUAUAGCAAUUUCUUGUUUGUUUAUUUUCUAUCUGUAUGCUGUCUUAUUCAUGUUGUAGCUGAAGCUUUCACUAUUGUAUUGGAUUGUUGAAGUUUCUUGUGUAACAGGGAAGUUGUGUGUAGCAGCUCUUCACCAAAACUAACAAAUCAAAUCAAAUACAUCAGCAAAUUCAGAGGGUUAACUAUGUCAUGAUUUACAGAGUAGUGUCUGGUGUAUUGACUGGAAACUUAUUGUGGGUUAUGUUUUCUUUCAGGCUAGAUGACGGAGGGGACGGACACCUAACCCGUGAAAGUAACUCUGGCUGAAAACAGUUCACGGUGAGAUGAUCUGUCAUUGUUUAAGUGUUUAUCUGCAUGUGGAAAUGGAAAUACUAGGCAUUUGUUUUUGUUCAUGUUGUGCGUUUGUCGUUCUAAUACGUAUGUGGAAAUUGAAGUACUAAGCAUUUAUUUUUAUUCACGUGGAGUGUUGUUGUUCCCGUAGCUACUCGUCUUAUUCUAGAAGCCAUUCGCCUCGUUAUUUGCCUGAUAAGAAUAGGAGCUGUAGCAGCUUCUUGCCUUGCAUAAGGAGGGAAGCCUCGAAUCCUAGCUCAAGAAGCUACACUAGAAGCACCUUGCCUUCUCUUUUCGUCGAGAAUCCACAUGCUAGGAGUCCCAAUGCAUCUUCGUCCUCCCCAUCUGUGUUGUCUAGAUCCGUUAGUCCUAGGUGGUGGUAGCUCUCUUGUCGUAGAAGGGUUUGUGUUACUAUAUAGGUUGAUUGGAUUAGGGUGUCCAUGCUCGCUAUUAUGUUGCUACUACUAGCCUACUACUAUAUACUGUGCUUAUUACUGUAUUACUACUGAUUAUCUAUUAUCUGGGAUUUUACGUUGCUUUUCCUCUUGAUUGUUUGAA